Molecule: ribosomal RNA, 382 nt
Filed under: uncultured eukaryote
Lineage: Eukaryota
Description: partial 18S ribosomal RNA
Rfam family: Eukaryotic small subunit ribosomal RNA
Source: RNAcentral
CAAUAGCGUAUAUUAAAGUUGUUGCAGUUAAAAAGCUCGUAGUUGGAUUUCUGGUGGGAGCGAUCGGUCUGGCGCUUAGCGCGAGUACUUGCAUCGUCUCCGGCCAUCCUUGGGGAGAGUCUGUCUGGCAUUAGGUUGUCGGGCAGAGGAUCCUCAUCGUUUACUGUGAAAAAAUUAGAGUGUUCAAAGCAGGCUUAUGCCGUUGAAUAUAUUAGCAUGGAAUAAUAAGAUAGGACUUUGGUACUAUUUUGUUGGUUUGCGCACCAAAGUAAUGAUUAAUAGGGACAGUUGGGGGUAUUCGUAUUCCGUUGUCAGAGGUGAAAUUCUUGGAUUUACGGAAGACGAACUACUGCGAAAGCAUUUACCAAGGAUGUUUNCAUUG